Molecule: long non-coding RNA, 1050 nt
Organism: Pelmatolapia mariae (spotted tilapia)
Lineage: Eukaryota; Metazoa; Chordata; Actinopteri; Cichliformes; Cichlidae
Exons: 3
Source: RefSeq, a predicted model, not a curated record
CUUUGUAAGGCAGAUGGCGGUCCUCUCUGUGUUUAUUCAUUUUUCAUUGAUCUCCACUCCACUAUCACCAGCAGAAUUAACUGCAGGCAACCCAAGAGAAUUCGUUUUUUAAUUUCUUAAAUAUUUUAUAUAUGAGAAUCGACACAGAGACAAAAUAAACUGCGUUCUUUGGAUGGAGAUGAAAAGGAAGGAAAAAGUUACUGCGGAGCUAUUAGAUAAACUCAACCUUCACUGCAAUAUUUUUGGGCAAACCCCAUGGGAAUCUGGAAUCUUUGUUCAUCUCUAAAGAAGCACAAACAGUACAAUAAAGGUCACAUUUGGUUGCCUUUUUCAGGCACAGUCCAGACACUGCCACAUCUGUGAUGUCUCAGGAGCCUCGCAGGUCCAAUAGGAGUCACCCCCGCCCUCUCCAUUACUGUUUUUCCAUUUCACUAAUUGGGUUUUUGUUUAUGGGUACUGUGAUCACCGGUGAUAGUAUGAUCAGUGCUGUUAACUCCCUGAAGUCUAAUCGGGGGAAACUUGUCUAUUUAUGUGCUGUGUGUUUCACUCACAGUAAUCAAAUUAACUCUCAAACUUUUUUUUAAUCUUAAACAUGCUAUCAUCUGCUAAUUUUACAACAGCGUAUACAUGUUUAUUAUACUGAUGCAAUAUUAAAGUCACUUGAUACAUUUCACUUCAAGAAAUGCAACCAUCCUGGGUCAAUAGGGGGUUCGGAGGGUCAACAAGUCAUGGGUUAGGGUUACAGUCUUUAGUAUGGCCUUUUUAACGCUUCACUAAUCAAUAUUUACUAUGGAUCAAAUGACUAAAGAGGUUGGCUGCUAAUGGUGAUAAACCCAGUCCCCUUUUCAGGCAGCCCUUUAGAUGAAAAAACCACAGAAAAUCUUGCCCAAACAAGAGUAUAGAAAGAUAAAAAUAACAACCGCCUGGUGAAACAUCUUGAUGCUAAGGAAUUAGCAGUUCGUCCAAAUGAAAAAUCCUGUAGACUAUACGGACAAAUGUAUUGGGCUACAAUUCUUAUUGUUUGAAUUCAGGUGUUUAUAGUCCCUUUGU